UCUCCCCCAUGAAAAGUAUGCCUAGCACAUUCCUAAAAUUUUUAUUUAGUACUUCAAGGGACAACUUAGAGAAUGAAAAGAAGUUACACUCCUCUUCUUUUUCUAAUAAAAAAAUCACAAAUUAAAACAAUGGCUAUACAAUCAGAAGCCCACUUCUUUAGUCUCAAUAUUUCUUUCAAAAGCUUCAUUCACAGUUUUUUCAAAAACCAUUGUCUUCCUCCAUCCUCCUUUCUUCCUUUCUCUGUCCUUUCGUCUCAUAAUUACCUUCACCCAAAACAUUGAAUGAGAACAACAAUAAUCUCAUGCCCUCCCAUACCUAGGUGGAAUCCCACAAAAAUCCAUACCUCUGCUUCAACCACACCAUGCGCCAUUAAAAAGAGAACAAUGCAAGCAAAUCUUGAACUCAAAUAAAUCUUAUAGAUACCUAUUUAAUGCAUGCUCUAUGCAAAUAUAAAUAAACCAACUAAAAACGGGUACGAAUCGGAGGAAAAAGAAUAUAAGAUUUUUUUUUUCCCUUUCCC
This 521-nucleotide long non-coding RNA is filed under the name Elaeis guineensis (African oil palm). RNAcentral's name for it is "long non-coding RNA (EGUI_LNC035456)". Lineage: Eukaryota; Viridiplantae; Streptophyta; Magnoliopsida; Arecales; Arecaceae. The record is from RNAcentral.